GAAAUGCGAUAAGUAAUGUGAAUUGCAGAAUUCAGUGAAUCAUCGAAUCUUUGAACGCACAUUGCGCCCCCUGGUAUUCCGGGGGGCAUGCCUGUUCGAGCGUCAUUUCACCACUCAAGCCUCGCUUGGUAUUGGGCAACGCGGUCCGCCGCGUGCCUCAAAUCGACCGGCUGGGUCUUCUGUCCCCUAAGCGUUGUGGAAACUAUUCGCUAAAGGGUGCUCGGGAGGCUACGCCGUAAAACAACCCCAUUUCUAAGGUUGACCUCGGAUCAGGUAGGGAUACCCGCUGAACUUAAGC
Molecule: unclassified non-coding RNA, 298 nt
Filed under: plant metagenome
Description: partial contains 5.8S ribosomal RNA, internal transcribed spacer 2, and large subunit ribosomal RNA
Rfam family: 5.8S ribosomal RNA (bases 1-105)
Source: RNAcentral